UUUUUCAAAUAUCCUCUGAACGUUGACUUAGGUGCACACACCUGUGCUUCCAUUGGCAACAAAAGCUUUGAAUGCACAGGACUUCCACGGCAUGAAAUGCAUUUACAUACAUUACAUAAGAGAGAAGCAAUGAGCAAGUCUGUUGCUGGGAGAGGCUCACAUCCUUCUCACCAAAUCAAUCUGUAACUUUCAAAUAGCUCUGCUGUAUUUCCUAGCAACAGGAGUAAACACUGUACUACAUCCAGUGCCCAAGAUUUGUAACCACGUUAAUCUUCUCAAUACAAUUCUAGGUUAGAAGCCUAGAUGUGUGACUGGAGAUGCCUCCUGUCCAUUCAAUCUGACUCCAAUGUGGUUCUGCAGCACUGGACAAAGAUGGGAGAUUGAAACAGGAGCCCCUGCGAUGGGGGAACAGAGCCAGGGAGCAGGGGUUGGACAGAACCCAGGUUUGAGAAAACAACCUUGUGAACCUUCUAUUGGAGCAGCAAUAAAGAUCUGAGCUAAGUGUCGAGGGAGGCUGAGGAGGUGGUCACUAAGUCUGUCUUAGGCAUCCCAGGGUCUCCUCAGAGUCCAAGCCUGAAGUCCACUGCAGGGGUCACCAGCCACCUGUGGCCACAUUGGAAUGUGGCCAUUCUGAAUUGAGCUUUUAAAACAGAUUUUUUAACCUGGAGUCCAAGGAGUCCCAGGAAAUCCACAGACGAGAUUCAAUGGAUCCUUGAAAUCCCUAAAAUUAAAUACAAAGCGGGGAUUGAUGACCAAAGAAGGCAGCUAUAAUGUUUUAUUCUCAAGAUGAUGGUUACUCAUCUUAGAAUAAAAACAACAACAACAAAAAAUAACAGAUGAAUGGGAAGAGCCCAAUCAAAGCUUUAUUCUACUCCUCAACAACUCAGGAGUUAAGCCUAAAGCUGCAGAUGAAAAUUUUGCCACCAUGAAGAAAAGAAGAAAUCAGAAUUGGAUUCUUUCUGAACUUUUCCUUUACAGUAGCCAGUAUAUGCCCUUUCCUACUUGAGCAAGUAUAAACUGGGUUUCUGUGAUUUGCAACCAAGUGUCCUGACAAACACAAGGAUGAAAGACAACUGUGUCUCAAUAAAGGAAAAAUAGUUUAUUUUUAUGAGUGGUGGAUUUAAAAAACCUACAUUACUGUGACAAGAGUACCUUAAAACAUUUAAGUCUACAAAAGGCACUUAGGGACUUUAUAGCAAACUCUACACUUAUAAUGAAAAGCCAGACCAGAUCAUUUUAAAAAAACGUUACUGCACGAGAUAAUGGCACAUCCACUCGUUCAAUUAACAUUUAUUGAGUGUCUUCAGGGGUUUUAGACUUGUGCAAUAAAAAUGAUAAAAACGUAUUCUUUGGUUUGAGCUGGUCCAUCCAAGGUCGUUCCAUAAAGAGCAGCUGUGUAUGCUGUUCAGACUAAUUGUGUGAAGCUGGAGAGGCCAGGUGUUUCUGUCUGGCCCAGCAGCUGCACUUUGCGGUAAGGGCACCACCUGAAUUUCAGUCUGGCCAUAAAAUGAGGCUGAAGAAACAGCACCUUGCAUGAGCUUUUAGGUGAAAGGCAGAACAG
This 1561-nucleotide long non-coding RNA is filed under the name Homo sapiens (human). RNAcentral describes it as "HSALNT0093594". Lineage: Eukaryota; Metazoa; Chordata; Mammalia; Primates; Hominidae. The record is from RNAcentral.